UUUGAAUCCAAUCCGUUUUAUUAUUAAAAUCGAGGAUAUUGGUUUUCUAAUUUCUUUUGUUAGUUUUAGUUCCAAUGCUUUUCAAACUGACUUAAUCAGUUUAGUUUGAAUAAAUAUGUUGAAUCCAAUUAAGCCAACCUAUGUACAACUCUACCGUUAUGAAUUUAAGAUCUUCAUAUUUUAAAAGGGAAAAACCUCAAUUUUGCUGUCAAUUUUUAGCUCAUAUUUGAAAUAAGUCUAUUUUUUUUAAUUAAAUUAGUUUAAGUCUUCCAUUGAGUUUAAA
RNAcentral lists this unclassified non-coding RNA (283 nucleotides) under Hevea brasiliensis (rubber tree). The record is from RNAcentral. Lineage: Eukaryota; Viridiplantae; Streptophyta; Magnoliopsida; Malpighiales; Euphorbiaceae.